GCAAACUUGGUCAUUUAGAGGAAGUAAAAGUCGUAACAAGGUCUCCGUUGGUGAACCAGCGGAGGGAUCAUUAUCGAGUUUUUUACACUCAAACCCGUCUGUGAACCCGAAACUGUUGCUUCGGCGGGAGCCCCUCAAGGCGCCCGCCAAAGGUUUAUUAUUUUUCUUCUUUCAAGUGGCUCGCAGCCGCGCCUAAUUCUCUGAAUUAUUAUUCAAAAAAAGUCAAAACUUUCAACAACGGAUCUCUUGGUUCCGGCAUCGAUGAAGAACGCAGC
Molecule: unclassified non-coding RNA, 275 nt
Filed under: uncultured fungus
Lineage: Eukaryota; Fungi
Description: partial contains small subunit ribosomal RNA, internal transcribed spacer 1, and 5.8S ribosomal RNA
Rfam family: Eukaryotic small subunit ribosomal RNA (bases 1-73)
Source: RNAcentral